AUCAUGUCUGGGACUUUUGGCUAAGAUCAAGUGUAGCAUCUGUUCUUAUCAGUUUAAUAUUGAAUAUGCCCUCUAUCUGAGAAUUCAAAAAUAAAAAUAGAAAGAAA
Molecule: small nuclear RNA, 107 nt
Filed under: Otolemur garnettii (small-eared galago)
Lineage: Eukaryota; Metazoa; Chordata; Mammalia; Primates; Galagidae
Description: U2 spliceosomal RNA
Rfam family: U2 spliceosomal RNA
About the family: U2 is a small nuclear RNA (snRNA) component of the spliceosome (involved in pre-mRNA splicing). Complementary binding between U2 snRNA (in an area lying towards the 5' end but 3' to hairpin I) and the branchpoint sequence (BPS) of the intron results the bulging out of an unpaired adenosine, on the BPS, which initiates a nucleophilic attack at the intronic 5' splice site, thus starting the first of two transesterification reactions that mediate splicing.
Source: Rfam by way of RNAcentral